Molecule: ribosomal RNA, 810 nt
Filed under: uncultured bacterium
Lineage: Bacteria
Description: bacterial SSU rRNA
Rfam family: Bacterial small subunit ribosomal RNA
Source: RNAcentral
AGAGUUUGAUCCUGGCUCAGAACGAACGCUGGCGGCGUGGAUAAGACAUGCAAGUCGAGCGAGAUUUUUCGUUGUAGCAAUACGAUGGAAAGUCUAGCGGCGAACGGGUGCUUAACACGUGGGCAACCUGCCAUGAAGUGGGGGAUAGCUCGCCGAAAGGCGAAUUAAUACCGCAUGUGAUUAGAGAGGACAUCCUUUCGAAAUUAAAGUCGGGGCAACCUGACGCUUCUUGUGGGGCCCGCGGCCUAUCAGCUAGUUGGUGAGGUAACGGCUCACCAAGGCUUUGACGGGUAGCUGGUCUGAGAGGACGACCAGCCACACUGGGACUGAGACACGGCCCAGACACCUACGGGUGGCAGCAGUCGAGAAUUUUUGACAAUGGGGGAAACCCUGAUCGAGCGACGCCGCGUGGAGGAUGAAGGUCUUCGGAUUGUAAACUCCUGUCAUUGGGGAACAAGGUGCAUACGUUAACUGCGUGUGCAUUGAUAGUACCCGAAGAGGAAGAGACGGCUAACUCUGUGCCAGCAGCCGCGGUAAUACAGAGGUCUCAAGCGUUGUUCGGAUUCAUUGGGCGUAAAGGGUGCGUAGGUGGCAAAGUAAGUUGGAUGUGAAAUCCUGGGGCUUAACCUCAGAAUUGCAUUCAAUACUGCUUAGCUAGAGAGCUGUAGAGGAGACUGGAAUUUACGGUGUAGCAGUGAAAUGCGUAGAUAUCGUAAGGAACGCCAGUGGCGAAAGCGAGUCUCUGGGCAGCAUCUGACACUGAGGCACGAAGGCCAGGGGAGCAAACGGGAUUAGAUACCCCCGUAGUCC